UUUCCAUCGGUUUCUUCUUUCUUCUACGGACUGUUUCUUUUGUUCUCACUGCACUCCCUCUCCUCCCAUCUCAGCGAUUGUUCGGUAUUCAUCUUGAGCCGACGUCAUCACUAGCGUGGUGCUUCAAUCGAUUUCUCAAGUUUGAGACUUUGUGCAUUUGUCUACUGCUUGCCUUCUCAAUUUUGGUGGCUGAGAGGGAAGAGUGUUGGUUCAGGGAGAGCGAGUAGAAAGAAAGCCAUCCUUGACAGCCGCAGAGGGAGAGAGAGAGAGAGAGAGAUAUUCAAGAAGCGAAAAUCUGGGUUGCUCUUCUCAAUCAAAUUGUCAAGACCACAAUAAAGUUCCUUGGUUUGCUGAGUUCUCCUUUGGUUUGAUCAAAGGCUGUGGUUUUGGUGGAUUUCGACGAGUGAGGAUUGCAGGCUUUGUUUGUGCUACAGUUUCAACUCUGGGCAAUUGAUUGCAAUACCUUCAAGGUUAGAGCUGCUGAGCUUCGGCAAAUACUAGUAGAACUUGGACCGGCGUAUAUCAAAAUCGCUCAGGCUAUUUCGUCUCGACCUAAAGAAAAUUUCAGUCGAUCCUCGCCGGAGUUAGAUUCAGAAUGCGGAGGUCGAUUGCGAGUCUGGGUGGGUCCCUCGUCAAAAGCCGAGGGUUUAGCACGAGCUCGUCGCCGGAGAAAAUCGUCGCGUCCGUACUCUUCGAGAGGCUCCCGGUUGUUAUUCCCAAAAUCGACCCCAUCGUCUAUGCAUUUCAGGAGUUCUCGUUUCGGUGGCGACAGCAAUAUCGACGCAGAUAUCCAGAUGAACUUUUAGACAAGUCUAAUGCUAGGGGAAAAGGAGACUACCAAAUUGAUUAUGUACCAGCUCCACGGAUCACUGAAGCUGACAAACAAAAUGAUAGAAAGUCAUUGCAGAGAGCACUUGACAGUAGACUUUAUCUUCUUAUCUAUGGUAACACACAUGGAUCUCCUAAUGGAAAGCCAGUCUGGCAUUUUCCAGAAAAAGUGUACGAGUCUGAGGAGACAUUGCGGAAGUGUGCAGAAUCUGCAUUACUGUCUGUCCUAGGUGAUCUGUCCCACACAUAUUUUGUUGGAAAUGCUCCUAUGGGACAUAUUGCAAUGGAGUCAUCAGCGAAUGUGACCGACUCUCCAUCUUUCAAGCAAUUCUUUUUCAAGUCUCAAGUGAUUGCAACAAACAAGUUAAAAAUUGGGAAGUGUGAGGAUUUUGUUUGGGUGACCAAGGAUGAAUUGAUGGAAUAUUUUCCUGAGAAAGCUGAGUUCCUCAGCAAGAUGAUCAUUAGCUGAUCUGCCAUAUGUAAUCUCUUUUUGCAUAAAAUCUUUGCAAUUCAGACUAGGAAUUUAUAUCGACUGUUGAUUAAAGAGUGAAACCUGACAUAGUGAAUCUUAGGCUGAAUCUUAGGCUGUAGAAUGCUGCAAUUAAAGUUUGUUGUGGGGCUUGCUGUUUACUGGCUGAAGCGUGGCUCAGUACUGGAAUUUUUGGAUAGUUGUUGCUUCAAUGCUGCCCCUUCUGGAUUUUUCAUGUAUUUUCCCUCCCUUUUUUCCCCCUGGUCUAUGUACUCUGCAUACACAAUUGGUUCUGCUAUGUAAUCUUCUUCUAGGUGGUUACGAUAGCUCUCAUCAAAGGUAGACGCCUCCACCGCACGUCCUCCCCACUUACCGCACAUCCAACAGUGAGCCGCUGUAGGCUGCAAUAACUCAUAACCACACAAGUCACAUAUUACUAGAUAGUCAGGGCCAACAGUUGCACCAGGUGGAACACACUCCAAUAAGGGCAACUAAUAAUGUGUUGGUGAUCAUCACCACAAAUCUGCCAUCCUUCUUUUUUGAUGACUCUGGCGGCAGCCUUUAGAUCUUCUUCAGAGUACUUCUCCUUCUCCUUGCCCACUGCUGGUCUCACUGUGAUUCCAGAAGCAUCCAUAUCUAGGGUUAUUUUGGUGCUGGGGUGAAUGAGAUCAAGUGGUCACGGAUGUACAAUCUUCUUCUAGUCUAUCUUGAAGGUAGGUAUUUAUAGACAAAACAUAAUCCUAUCCUAUUAGGAAUAGAAAUCCUAAUCAAACUAGUAUAACACGUCUUAAACUAGGAAACAUGUAUAUUGCAAUUUACCUCCCUCAAGCUGAGAAUGCAUGAAAUAAUUUUUCCUCCGUAGUACA
This is an RNA transcript of Rosa chinensis, 2163 nucleotides long. It is a transcript of the gene named 39S ribosomal protein L46, mitochondrial, with no coding region annotated. Lineage: Eukaryota; Viridiplantae; Streptophyta; Magnoliopsida; Rosales; Rosaceae. The transcript is spliced from 13 exons. The record is from RefSeq and is a predicted model, not a curated record.